This 1467-nucleotide long non-coding RNA is filed under the name Homo sapiens (human). Its description in RNAcentral is "HSALNT0167779". The record is from RNAcentral. Lineage: Eukaryota; Metazoa; Chordata; Mammalia; Primates; Hominidae.
CGAAUUUUCCCUUCUAUUAGGAAGAAAGGGGAAGGCUUGGGAAUAGGAGAGAGUAAGAUACUAGAAAUUCUUCCUCUGAAGCUCAGUACUAUUUUAAUACUCUCCACAUCACCCCCACUUUUUUUUGACAUGUAACUUAUUUCAAACAAACAAAGUAAAGUAAGCACUGAACUGUAAAUCUAUGAAUGUGGACCUCAGUUUUCUUCAUAUGUAAAGUGAGAAGUUUGGGCUAGUCUCUGAGGUGUCUUCUAUCCUCGUGUACCUGAAAUGACCCAAGCUGCAGACACUGUUCGACACACCUUGUCACUACUGGAGUGGAUGGCCAGGUGAAUAUUCUGGCUUGCUCAUCCUGCUUGCAACAGCUGGGGCUGAAACAGCUUGUGGCAAAUCUCAGGCUACAGAAGGCCUGGUCAAGGACUUACUCGCUGAGCACUGCUUCCUCUCCCUCUUGCUCAGCUUGGUAACAGUAUCAAGGGCAUAGAAACUGCAAGCUCCCCCAGGAUCAGCAAAUGCAUUUUGUUCUUUAGGCUUCUCCUCCUGGUACUCUGCUGCCCUUUCUUCUCAGAAGCCCUACUGGGGCAUUUAGCAGCUCCUUUUAGUCACUUUUGUGUCCAAGGGCUGAUGCCCAUGCAGAGCCUGCUGGCUAUUGACUGACUAAAGUUUGGUGGUGGCCACCUCAUGCCUGCAAACCACCAGGUUUGAGUAUCUUGGGAGAAAGCUCUGGGAUAAUACCCUCCUUGAUGUCAGAGUGUAUGGGGCCUUGUUGAAGAGUUGCCAGGCAGCCAAGAGAAAGUGUUCCACACAUAGAACAGGGGGAGACUUGAAUCCUAGAGAAAACAAAACAAAACCUAACAAAACAGAAAUGAACCCUUGAUGAACCUCUUGCUCUGGACUGGUGCCCUGAAAAUGAAUGAAAUUGUUUUAAAGAUUACCAAGAAGAUAUAAAAUAUCAAAUGCGGCAUUAAUGUAAGAAUCCCCUGAAAACAUGCUGGUAUUUGAAAAUCCUGCAUUCCCAGGAAGGGUGUGCACAUGGAGGAUCCUGACGGUACCUGACUGUGUGCAGAUGCAGCAGCCCAAACUCUGACUCUGACCCUACUUCUGUAUCUUAAGCCCGGUAGAUCCCUUGCAACUAUAUGAUUCCUCUGUCAUCAGUUGGUGAUAAUGGUGCCAGAGAGGGCAGAAUUGUUUCAGAAUUCAGAGAGAGGAUGGCAUGUUAAAACUGGAAGAAAUAUUCUAGAUCAAGACCCUUAUUCAGUAGAUGAGGACAACGAAAGUAGAGAAACAGUGUGCCCGACCCAGGUCUGGCUUACUGAAAUUCCUGGUUGAUGUCUCUGUGCCCCCUAUUCCUGCCCACCUCUCCCACUUCCCGAGAAUGUUUAGUCAUGACAACCAAAAGAGAUUCGUUAAUCAGGGGACCCACUUUGGUGAAAGGAGAUGAUUCUGUAUCAUUAACUGAUUAAAUAAAAC